Molecule: ribosomal RNA, 253 nt
Filed under: uncultured bacterium
Lineage: Bacteria
Description: partial 16S ribosomal RNA
Rfam family: Bacterial small subunit ribosomal RNA
Source: RNAcentral
UACGGAGGGUGCAAGCGUUAUCCGGAUUCACUGGGUUUAAAGGGUGCGUAGGUGGGUUGAUAAGUCAGUGGUGAAAUCCCCGAGCUUAACUUGGGAACUGCCAUUGAUACUAUUGAUCUUGAAUACCGUGGAGGUCAGCGGAAUAUGUCAUGUAGCGGCGAAAUGCUUAGAUAUGACAUAGAACACCAAUUGCGGAGGCAGCUGGCUACGCGAAUAUUGACACUGAUGCACGAAAGCGUGGGGAUCAAACAGG